Molecule: transfer RNA, 71 nt
Filed under: Loxodonta africana (African savanna elephant)
Lineage: Eukaryota; Metazoa; Chordata; Mammalia; Proboscidea; Elephantidae
Rfam family: tRNA
About the family: Transfer RNA (tRNA) molecules are approximately 80 nucleotides in length.
Source: Rfam by way of RNAcentral
GCAUUGGCGGUUCAGUGGUAGAAUUCUUGCCUCUCACACGGGAGACCUAGGUUCAAUCCCCAGCCAAAGCA